RNAcentral lists this unclassified non-coding RNA (200 nucleotides) under uncultured Agaricales. Its description in RNAcentral is "sequence contains ITS2". The record is from RNAcentral. Lineage: Eukaryota; Fungi; Basidiomycota; Agaricomycetes; Agaricales.
AAUUCUCAACCCCUCCAUUGUGAUGGGGCUUGGAUAUGGGGGCUUGCGGGUCUUUAUCAGUAAAGGUCAGCUCUCCUGAAAUACAUUAGCGGAACCGUUUGCAGUCCCGUCACUAGUGUGAUAAUUAUCUACACUGUGAUGAUUGCUCUCUGAGUAGUUCAGCUGCUAAUUGUCCGAUUGGGGACAAGGUUUAAUGAAGU